CGCCCACCCGGCAGGGCGGCAGCAGCUGCGGCAGCGCCUGGAUCGCCGCCUGGCUGCCCGCCACCGGCAGCGCGUGGGUCGCGCCAUAGCAGGCGC
RNAcentral lists this transfer RNA (96 nucleotides) under compost metagenome. RNAcentral's name for it is "tRNA-Pro". The record is from RNAcentral.